This 253-nucleotide ribosomal RNA is filed under the name uncultured bacterium. RNAcentral's name for it is "partial 16S ribosomal RNA". It matches the Rfam family "Bacterial small subunit ribosomal RNA", at positions 524 to 776 of the family's 1533-position model. The record is from RNAcentral.
UACGGAGGAUGCAAGCGUUAUCCGGAAUGAUUGGGCGUAAAGCGUCCGCAGGUGGCUAUGUAAGUCUGCUGUUAAAGAGUGAGGCUCAACCUCAUAAGAGCAGUGGAAACUACAUGGCUAGAGUGCGUUCGGGGCAGAGGGAAUUCCUGGUGUAGCGGUGAAAUGCGCAGAUAUCAGGAAGAACACCAAUGGCGAAAGCAGCUCUCUGGGACGGUACUGACGCUGAGACGCGAAAGCGUGGGGAGCGAACAGG